UUCCCCUAGUAACGGCGAGUGAAGCGGGAAGAGCUCAAAUUUAAAAUCUGGCAAUCUUUGGUUGUCCGAAUUGUAAUCUAGAGAAGCGUUUUCCGUGCUGGACUGUGUACAAGUUUCCUGGAUACGGAACAUCAUAGAGGGUGAGAAUCCCGUCCUUGACACAGACUCCCAGCACUUUUGUGAUGCGCUCUCGACGAGUCGAGUUGUUUGGGAUUGCAGCUCAAAAUGGGAGGUAAAUUCCUUCUAAAGCUAAAUAUUGGCGAGAGACCGAUAGCGAACAAGUACCGUGAGGGAAAGAUGAAAAGCACUUUGGAAAGAGAGUUAAACAGUACGUGAAAUUGUUAAAAGGGAAACGCUUGAAGUCAGUCACGUUUGCUUGGACUCAGCCUUACUUCGGUUUGGUGCAUUUCCUUGCAGACGGGCCAGCGUCCAUGUCAAUUGCCGGAAAAGGGGUGAGAGAAUGUGGCUCCUUUGGGAGUGUUAUAGCUCUCACUCGUAUGCGGGGAAUGAUAUGGAGUGGUACAGCACACUUCGGUGGUGCUUGUGCUGGCAUAAUGGCUUUAAACGACCCGUCUUGAAACACGGACCAAGGAGUCUAACAUGUCUGCGAGUAUUUGGGUGGAAAACCCAGGUGCGUAAUGAAAGUGACAGCUGGGAACCCCUUCUGGGAGGCACCGGCACCCCGAGCUGACCUUCUGUGACGCAUCGGAGGCAGAGCAUAUAUGUUGGGACCCGAAAGAUGGUGAACUAUGCCUGAAUAGGGCGAAGCCAGAGGAAACUCUGGUGGAGGCUCGUAGCGAUUCUGACGUGCAAAUCGAUCGUCAAAUUUGGGUAUAGGGGCGAAAGACUAAUCGAACCAU
RNAcentral lists this ribosomal RNA (860 nucleotides) under Clavulina cristata. Its description in RNAcentral is "eukaryotic LSU rRNA". It matches the Rfam family "Eukaryotic large subunit ribosomal RNA", at positions 75 to 943 of the family's 3401-position model. Lineage: Eukaryota; Fungi; Basidiomycota; Agaricomycetes; Cantharellales; Hydnaceae. The record is from RNAcentral.